Molecule: ribosomal RNA, 253 nt
Filed under: uncultured bacterium
Lineage: Bacteria
Description: partial 16S ribosomal RNA
Rfam family: Bacterial small subunit ribosomal RNA
Source: RNAcentral
UACGAAGGGGGCUAGCGUUGCUCGGAAUCACUGGGCGUAAAGGGUGCGUAGGCGGGUCUUUAAGUCAGGGGUGAAAUCCUGGAGCUCAACUCCAGAACUGCCUUUGAUACUGAGGAUCUUGAGUCCGGGAGAGGUGAGUGGAACUGCGAGUGUAGAGGUGAAAUUCGUAGAUAUUCGCAAGAACACCAGUGGCGAAGGCGGCUCACUGGCCCGGUACUGACGCUGAGGCACGAAAGCGCGGGGAGCAAACAGG